RNAcentral lists this ribosomal RNA (439 nucleotides) under uncultured bacterium. RNAcentral's name for it is "partial 16S ribosomal RNA". It matches the Rfam family "Bacterial small subunit ribosomal RNA", at positions 339 to 795 of the family's 1533-position model. The record is from RNAcentral.
CUACGGGGGGCUGCAGUGGGGAAUAUUGCACAAUGGGGGAAACCCUGAUGCAGCAACGCCGCGUGGAGGAUGACACAUUUCGGUGCGUAAACUCCUUUUAUAGGUCAAGAUAAUGACGGUAGCCUAUGAAUAAGCGCCGGCUAACUCCGUGCCAGCAGCCGCGGUAAUACGGAGGGCGCAAGCGUUACUCGGAAUCACUGGGCGUAAAGAGCAUGUAGGCGGGUUAAUAAGUCAGAAGUGAAAUCCAAUAGCUCAACUAUUGAACUGCUUUUGAAACUGUUAACCUAGAGUGUGGGAGAGGUAGAUGGAAUUUCUGGUGUAGGGGUAAUAUCCGUAGAGAUCAGAAGGAAUACCGAUUGCGAAGGCGAUCUACUGGAACAUUACUGACGCUGAGAUGCGAAAGCGUGGGGAGCAAACAGGAUUAGAUACCCUAGUAGUC